Molecule: long non-coding RNA, 1006 nt
Organism: Megalobrama amblycephala (Wuchang bream)
Lineage: Eukaryota; Metazoa; Chordata; Actinopteri; Cypriniformes; Xenocyprididae
Exons: 3
Source: RefSeq, a predicted model, not a curated record
UGCAUUUCCUGCCUGAAGCUGAAGGCAGGGGCGUAGCCAACCCCCGGGGAGUAUGGACAGGGACCAUCCUGGUGGUGGUGGGGAGGAUGGAGGUGAAAGUUCGCGUCAGCAUCUGCGAACUCAGACAAGUGAAGAGAGAUGGAACACAGUCACUGAACGGGCAGGCCUCUGGUGACGCAGGGAUUGAGAUGAUCGGCUGGUGGUGACGAGGAGUGCUGAGGUGAAGUAAAUCCAAGGUCCGGACAUAGAACGAGAACACGAAGAAAACCGGACUGGAACUGGAGACGACACGACUGGAACUCCGAGCAGGAACAGGACAAGACAACACAGCACAGGACACCAAACAACGAUCUGACAGGGAAGAUGAGAAUGAGGUGAGCUUAUAAAGGCAAAUUCAGCAUGAAGUGUGACCGUGCAGUGGGCAGACUGAGAGAGUGAGAACAUAAAGUCCUCAGAUUCCCUUUCAACUUCAGGCCUCAGCACACAGCUAGUGAAAGACUCAACAAAGCAAAGGCUUGGAAUGUGAAGAUAAACCAGAGUCACUCUACGAUGUCCCCAAGAACAACGAGAUGGGAGGGGAGAGAAAAGGUGAAUGAGUGCAGAGCUGAGGAGGUGAGCACUCGACUCUGAGCUCAAGAAAGAGGGAGCUACACUUCCAAGAAUUCAGCCCUGAACGCAACCUUAAUGGCUUUUCACUGUUGAGGUACAAAAACAAGAGUUGCAUCUUCCCCUGAAAAUACACAGCAACACUAAAAUAUCGGACCCGCAAUAAUUAGCACAACAAAAAUAACACCAGGAUGCUGCUAAUGGAAAACCCUUCACAUGAUCCUUCACGUAGUCAGACAGUAAUUAAAACCGCUCUGUCUGUUCAUAAUUAUGUGGGGUGCUGAGAUGCUACUGUAUUGAUCUGGGAUUAAACAUAAUGCAUGUCCUAAUGAAAUACCUACAUUACUGUCAUCAGUGCUAUGAUGGCUCAUUAAUAUACUAAUAUCUGUUCUUCUGAGAG